AACGAACGCUGGCGGCAUGCCUAACACAUGCAAGUCGAACGAGACCUUCGGGUCUAGUGGCGCACGGGUGCGUAACGCGUGGGAAUCUGCCCUUGGGUUCGGGAUAACAGUUGGAAACGACUGCCAAUACCGGAUGAUGUCUUCGGACCAAAGAUUUAUCGCCCAAGGAUGAGCCCGCGUAGGAUUAGCUUGUUGGUGAG
RNAcentral lists this ribosomal RNA (200 nucleotides) under uncultured bacterium. Its description in RNAcentral is "partial 16S ribosomal RNA". It matches the Rfam family "Bacterial small subunit ribosomal RNA", at positions 29 to 256 of the family's 1533-position model. The record is from RNAcentral.